UAAGUUGGUAGUGAAAGCGUGUGGCUCAACCAUAUACACAUUACCAAAACUGCUUUAGCUAGAGGAUGAGAGAGGUUAUUGGAAUUCCCUGUGUAGGAGUGAAAUCCGUAGAUAUAGGGAGGAACACCGAUGGCGUAGGCAGAUAACUGGCUCAUUCCUGACACUAAGGCACGAAAGCGUGGGGAGCAAACGGGAUUAGAUACCCCGGUAGUCCACGCCGUAAACGAUGGAUGCUG
RNAcentral lists this ribosomal RNA (236 nucleotides) under uncultured Candidatus Saccharibacteria bacterium. RNAcentral describes it as "partial 16S ribosomal RNA". It matches the Rfam family "Bacterial small subunit ribosomal RNA", at positions 584 to 818 of the family's 1533-position model. The record is from RNAcentral. Lineage: Bacteria; Candidatus Saccharimonadota.